Molecule: ribosomal RNA, 1280 nt
Filed under: uncultured bacterium
Lineage: Bacteria
Description: bacterial SSU rRNA
Rfam family: Bacterial small subunit ribosomal RNA
Source: RNAcentral
CGAACGAAGCGAUUAGAAGGAAGUUUUCGGAUGGAAUUUUAAUUGACUGAGUGGCGGACGGGUGAGUAACGCGUGGGUAACCUGCCUCAUACAGGGGGAUAACAGUUAGAAAUGACUGCUAAUACCGCAUAAGCGCACAGGAUUGCAUGAUCCCGUGUGAAAAACUCCGGUGGUAUGAGAUGGACCCGCGUCUGAUUAGCUGGUUGGUGGGGUAACGGCCCACCAAGGCGACGAUCAGUAGCCGACCUGAGAGGGUGACCGGCCACAUUGGGACUGAGACACGGCCCAAACUCCUACGGGAGGCAGCAGUGGGGAAUAUUGCACAAUGGGGGAAACCCUGAUGCAGCAACGCCGCGUGAGUGAAGAAGUAUUUCGGUAUGUAAAGCUCUAUCAGCAGGGAAGAAAAUGACGGUACCUGAGUAAGAAGCCCCGGCUAACUACGUGCCAGCAGCCGCGGUAAUACGUAGGGGGCAAGCGUUAUCCGGAUUUACUGGGUGUAAAGGGAGCGUAGACGGCGAUGCAUGUCUGAAGUGAAAGCCCGGGGCUCAACCCCGGGACUGCUUUGGAAACUGUAUGGCUGGAGUGCUGGAGAGGCAAGCGGAAUUCCUAGUGUAGCGGUGAAAUGCGUAGAUAUUAGGAAGAACACCAGUGGCGAAGGCGGCUUGCUGGACAGUAACUGACGUUGAGGCUCGAAAGCGUGGGGGAGCAAACAGGAUUAGAUACCCUGGUAGUCCACGCUGUAAACGAUGAAUGCUAGGUGUUGGGGAGCAAAGCUUCUCGGUGCCGCCGCAAACGCAGUAAGCAUUCCACCUGGGGAGUACGUUCGCAAGAAUGAAACUCAAAGGAAUUGACGGGGACCCGCACAAGCGGUGGAGCAUGUGGUUUAAUUCGAAGCAACGCGAAGAACCUUACCAAGUCUUGACAUCCCGGUGACGCAUGCAGAAAUGCAUGUUCUCUUCGGAGCACUGGAGACAGGUGGUGCAUGGUUGUCGUCAGCUCGUGUCGUGAGAUGUUGGGUUAGGUCCCGCAACGAGCGCAACCCUUAUCCUUAGUAGCCAGCAGGUAAAGCUGGGCACUCUAGGGAGACUGCCAGGGAUAACCUGGAGGAAGGUGGGGAUGACGUCAAAUCAUCAUGCCCCUUAUGAUUUGGGCUACACACGUGCUACAAUGGCGUAAACAAAGGGAAGCGAAGUGGCGACAUGGAGCGAACCCCAAAAAUAACGUCUCAGUUCGGAUUGCAGGCUGCAACCCGCCUGCAUGAAGCCGGAAUCGCUAGUAAU